Molecule: ribosomal RNA, 266 nt
Filed under: uncultured bacterium
Lineage: Bacteria
Description: partial 16S ribosomal RNA
Rfam family: Bacterial small subunit ribosomal RNA
Source: RNAcentral
GCAAGUCGAACGAGACGAGAUGGAAUGACCCUUCGGGGGAAUGAAAUCUUAGAAAGUGGCGAACGGGUGAGUAACGCGUGGGUAACCUGCCCUAUGGAAAGGAAUAGCCUCGGGAAACUGGGAGUAAUGCCUUAUAAUACAGUGAAGUCGCAUGGCUUUGCUGUUAAACGCUCCGGUGCCAUAGGAUGGACCCGCGUCCCAUUAGCUAGUUGGUAAGAUAACAGCCCACCAAGGCGACGAUGGGUAACCGGUCUGAGAGGGGGAGC